GAUGAACGCUGGCGGCGUGCCUAAUACAUGCAAGUCGAGCGAACAGAUGAGGAGCUUGCUCCUCUGACGUUAGCGGCGGACGGGUGAGUAACACGUGGAUAACCUACCUAUAAGACUGGGAUAACUUCGGGAAACCGGAGCUAAUACCGGAUAAUAUAUUGAACCGCAUGGUUCAAUAGUGAAAGACGGUUUUGCUGUCACUUAUAGAUGGAUCCGCGCCGCAUUAGCUAGUUGGUAAGGUAACGGCUUACCAAGGCAACGAUGCGUAGCCGACCUGAGAGGGUGAUCGGCCACACUGGAACUGAGACACGGUCCAGACUCCUACGGGAGGCAGCAGUAGGGAAUCUUCCGCAAUGGGCGAAAGCCUGACGGAGCCACGCCGCGUGAGUGAUGAAGGUCUUCGGAUCGUAAAACUCUGUUAUUAGGGAGGAACAAAUGUGUAAGUAACUAUGCACGUCUUGACGGUACCUAAUCAGAAAGCCACGGCUAACUACGUG
RNAcentral lists this ribosomal RNA (497 nucleotides) under uncultured bacterium. RNAcentral's name for it is "partial 16S ribosomal RNA". It matches the Rfam family "Bacterial small subunit ribosomal RNA", at positions 28 to 507 of the family's 1533-position model. The record is from RNAcentral.